AUUUGGACGUCUAGGUGUCUGAGAUUGUGAUAAUGUGCUGUCCUUCAAGGAAUUAUCUGAAUCUAUUUCUACAGUAUAUUGCAGUGUUUGUUUGCAAGUUUUUAAAUGCUGUGCUCCCAUCUGUCAACUUCAAGUCCAUCCAGUCUAUAUCCUUUUUAAGUGGUGUUAACACAACUUCAUUACGUAGUGAUAUAUACUAUACAAAUGUUAAUUAUGUGUUUGACCUUGUU
Molecule: long non-coding RNA, 230 nt
Filed under: Mustela putorius furo (domestic ferret)
Lineage: Eukaryota; Metazoa; Chordata; Mammalia; Carnivora; Mustelidae
Description: lncRNA (ENSMPUG00000028725.1)
Source: RNAcentral